UACGUAGGGGGCAAGCGUUGUCCGGAAUCAUUGGGCGUAAAGCGCGUGUAGGCGGUUCAGUAAGUCCGCUGUGAAAGUCGGGGGCUCAACCCUCGAAUGCCGGUGGAUACUGUCGGGCUAGAGUACGGAAGAGGCGAGUGGAAUCCCUGGUGUAGCGGUGAAAUGCGCAGAUAUCAGGAGGAACACCUAUUGCGAAGGCAGCUCGCUGGGACGUAACUGACGCUGAGACGCGAAAGCGUGGGGAGCAAACAGG
This 253-nucleotide ribosomal RNA is filed under the name uncultured bacterium. RNAcentral describes it as "partial 16S ribosomal RNA". It matches the Rfam family "Bacterial small subunit ribosomal RNA", at positions 524 to 776 of the family's 1533-position model. The record is from RNAcentral.